This 1124-nucleotide long non-coding RNA is filed under the name Cricetulus griseus (Chinese hamster). Its description in RNAcentral is "lncRNA (ENSCGRG00015040492.1)". Lineage: Eukaryota; Metazoa; Chordata; Mammalia; Rodentia; Cricetidae. The record is from RNAcentral.
UUAUUGCAGUGUUAGGAGGAGAGAAAGAGGGAGAGAAAACAACAAUACUGCAAUGAUCCAAAUGAUACAGUAGAAUUAUAGCAAUUAUAGUUCUACUUGUGGAAGAAAACCUUGCUGAGAUCAAGCAAACAAACUGAAGCCUUGUGAGGAUAACAAGCCUCACGAUUGACAGCCGGUGCUGGGAAGAGCCGGAGGGCACAAACAGAAAUAUUUGCCUCCCCAACCCCCCUUAACUCCAACCAGUAAAGGUUAACCUUCUCAAAAGCUGCUUUCACAGUCUUAUCCACUUCUGACUAUGCAUUUUAUGCACAAAUCGAGGUUUUUCCUCCUGGAAGUCUGGUAAUAGGAGGAAAUGUGACAUAAUCUGCUUGCCUAGAACUUGCCCUCACCUUCUCUGUCCCCCCACCACGCACACCAGUUUACCCUUCACUUCCUACCCUUGCUUCAGUUCUCCCCAGGCUGCUGAGCUCCCUCUGUGGAUCCGGUUUGUUGAUGUGAUUUCAAAGGAGCAGCCCUAGAGAAGUCCAAAGGGCUCAGCCGGGAGAGCUUUUUUCCCGCCCCUGUUUUGGAAGCGGCUCGUGGAUCUCGACCGAGCCCUCAAGGUUUCCAAAUCCCAGAGGGAAACUUCUCAGCCCCCUAAUCGCCGCCAUCUGCUUUCUUCUUUCCAUCGCCAACCGGACCUCAGGACCCCGGGUGUGCGUCCAGGGUGGAGGGGUCCCCAGCAGAGAGGUAGGAGGGCAUGGGGUGGAGCGCCAGAGGAGGACUCAACUCAAGCGUCUGUCCUGAGGCCUGAGGGACCCCCAGCUGUCCGGGUCCCGCCACUCAGCACCCCUCACCCACCAGCAAGCAGCACCCUGGUCGGGCUCCGCUCAGAGCCACAGCCAGAGUGCGCCCCCUAGCGGGGCCUUCGGGUGGGCCGAGCCCUUCAGGUUCAGCCUCUAGGAACUGAAGUUGGCAGAUCCAAGUGAUCCUGCAGGCAUGAAUGGAAGAAAGAAAACAAAAGCCUUGCGAACAUUUCCAAGUGUUCAAUAAAAGACCCAUCUGUACCUUUUUUCUUCAGUGUGUUCGUGCUUAAUGUCCCCCCGUGAGUGCGAGAGGGGAGAUAAUUCAUGGAUGGAUUCUUG